This 255-nucleotide ribosomal RNA is filed under the name uncultured bacterium. Its description in RNAcentral is "partial 16S ribosomal RNA". It matches the Rfam family "Bacterial small subunit ribosomal RNA", at positions 524 to 776 of the family's 1533-position model. The record is from RNAcentral.
UACGUAGGGGGCAAGCGUUGUCCGGAUUUAUUGGGCGUAAAGAGCGUGUAGGCGGCCUGAAAGGUCAGCUGUGAAAUCCCGAGGCUCAACCUCGGAACUGCCUUCGAUACUGCGGGUCUCGAGUCCGGGAGAGGUGAGUGGAAUUCCUAGUGUAGAGGUGAAAUUCGUAGAUAUUAGGAAGAACACCAGUGGCGAAGGCGGCUCACUGGCCCGGUACUGACGCUGAGGCGGCGAAAAGCGUGGGGAGCAAACAGG